CCUACGGGAGGCAGCAGUGGGGAAUAUUGCACAAUGGGGGGAACCCUGAUGCAGCGACGCCGCGUGAGUGAAGACGUAUCUCGGGAUGUAAAGCUCUAUCAGCAGGGAAGAAAAUGACGGUACCUGACUAAGAAGCCCCGGCUAAAUACGUGCCAGCAGCCGCGGUAAUAAGUCGGGGGCAAGCGUUAUCCGGAUUUACUGGGGGUAAAGGGAGCGUAGGCGGCAGAGCAAGUCUGAAGUGAAAGUCCGCGGCCCAACCGCGGGACUGCUUUGGAAACUGGCCGGCUAGAGUGCAGGAGAGGUAAGCGGAAUUCGUAGUGUAGCGGUGAAAUGCGUAGAUAUUAGGAGGAACACCAGUGGCGAAGGCAGCUUACUGGACUGUAACUGACGUUGAGGCUCGAAAGCGUGGGGAGCAAACAGGAUUAGAUACCCCAGUAGUC
RNAcentral lists this ribosomal RNA (440 nucleotides) under uncultured bacterium. RNAcentral's name for it is "partial 16S ribosomal RNA". It matches the Rfam family "Bacterial small subunit ribosomal RNA", at positions 338 to 795 of the family's 1533-position model. The record is from RNAcentral.